CCAAGGAGUCUAACAUGUGCGCGAGUCGUCGGGUCUUGAAUAGGCCCGCAGGCGAAAUGAAAGUGAAGGGCGACCUUGUCGUCGCCUGCGUUGGGAUCCCUGGACCAUGGCGUCCGGGGCGCACCAACGGCCCGUCCCGUCCGCAACGUCGGUGGGACGGAGCGAGAGCGUACACGUUGGGACCCGAAAGAUGGUGAACUAUGCCUGGGCAGGACGAGGCCAGAGGAAACUCUGGUGGAGGUCCGCAGCGAUUCUGACGUGCAAAUCGAUCGUCAGACCUGGGUAUAGGGGCGAAAGACUAAUCGAACCGUCUAGUAGCUGGUUCCCUCCGAAGUUUCCCUCAGGAUAGCUGGCGCUCGAGGGAGUCAGUCUCAUCCGGUAAAGCGAAUGAUUAGAGGCCUUGGGGCCGAAACGACCUCAACCUAUUCUCAAACUUUCAAUGGGUGAGAAGUCCGGUUUACAUGACUGAAGCCCGGACAAUUCUCAGGAUGCGAGUGCCCAGUGGGCCACUUUU
This 514-nucleotide ribosomal RNA is filed under the name Mesomexovis variegatus. Its description in RNAcentral is "eukaryotic LSU rRNA". It matches the Rfam family "Eukaryotic large subunit ribosomal RNA", at positions 666 to 1138 of the family's 3401-position model. The record is from RNAcentral. Lineage: Eukaryota; Metazoa; Arthropoda; Arachnida; Scorpiones; Vaejovidae.